Leopardus geoffroyi (Geoffroy's cat) is the source of this 479-nucleotide long non-coding RNA. RefSeq lists it as uncharacterized. The record is from RefSeq and is a predicted model, not a curated record. The transcript has 2 exons. Lineage: Eukaryota; Metazoa; Chordata; Mammalia; Carnivora; Felidae.
ACAAGGAGCAAACUACUAGCAUUGACAAGGAUAUGAUAAAUGCUAGAGCGUGCAGAAACUCUAGAACGAGUGACAAAUUAGCAAAUUAGUGGGCAGUUUUUGAUGGUGGGAUUAUUAUUAUGGCCACAGAUUUGAGUUACUUACUAUUUGCUAGGCCCUGAGGGUAUAGAAAGAUAAAGGAAAUAAUCCCUGUUCUCAAGAAGCUUUGGGAAGACACACAAAGUUACACCACAGGACAGCAGGUGACAAGUAUCAAAAGGUUGUUCUUGGCACUGUGCUAGAGUUGAUGGAAUAAGACCAUCGAGAAAAGCUACUGUGGGCAUGUAACACCAGGUACUGAAGGGAUGGCUGUCCUGUUUGCUGAGUGCUGCUGCCUUCUACAUCUCCUUACUGGUUCCUCUUUGGGCAUUAAAUUCUCACAUUUGGAUAAAUCUAUUUUUUAAAUAAAGGGACACAGCAGCUCCCAAGAGGCGGCAAAA